UACAGAGGGUGCAAGCGUUAAUCGGAAUUACUGGGCGUAAAGGGCGCGUAGGCGGUUAUUUAAGUGAGAUGUGAAAUCCCUGGGCUUAACCCAGGAACUGCAUCUUAUACUGGAUAACUGGAGUACAGUAGAGGGCAGUGGAAUUUCCGGUGUAGCGGUGAAAUGCGUAGAUAUCGGAAGGAACACCAGUGGCGAAGGCGACUGCCUGGACUGAUACUGACGCUGAGGCGCGAAAGCGUGGGGAGCAAACAGG
RNAcentral lists this ribosomal RNA (253 nucleotides) under uncultured bacterium. RNAcentral's name for it is "partial 16S ribosomal RNA". It matches the Rfam family "Bacterial small subunit ribosomal RNA", at positions 524 to 776 of the family's 1533-position model. The record is from RNAcentral.